UACGGAGGGUGCAAGCGUUGUCCGGAUUUAUUGGGUUUAAAGGGUGCGUAGGCGGCCUGUUAAGUCAGUGGUGAAAGCCUCCAGCUCAACUGGAGAACUGCCAUUGAUACUGGCGGGCUUGAGUACAGACGAGGUAGGCGGAAUUGAUUGUGUAGCGGUGAAAUGCAUAGAUACAAUCAAGAACACCGAUUGCGUAGGCAGCUUACUAGGCUGUAACUGACGCUGAGGCACGAAAGCGUGGGGAGCGAACAGG
Molecule: ribosomal RNA, 253 nt
Filed under: uncultured bacterium
Lineage: Bacteria
Description: partial 16S ribosomal RNA
Rfam family: Bacterial small subunit ribosomal RNA
Source: RNAcentral